RNAcentral lists this ribosomal RNA (484 nucleotides) under uncultured bacterium. RNAcentral describes it as "partial 16S ribosomal RNA". It matches the Rfam family "Bacterial small subunit ribosomal RNA", at positions 30 to 507 of the family's 1533-position model. The record is from RNAcentral.
AUUGAACGCUGGCGGCAGGCCUAACACAUGCAAGUCGAGCGGAUGAAGGGAGCUUGCUCCUGGAUUCAGCGGCGGACGGGUGAGUAAUGCCUAGGAAUCUGCCUGGUAGUGGGGGAUAACGUCCGGAAACGGGCGCUAAUACCGCAUACGUCCUGAGGGAGAAAGUGGGGGAUCUUCGGACCUCACGCUAUCAGAUGAGCCUAGGUCGGAUUAGCUAGUUGGUGGGGUAAAGGCCUACCAAGCCGACGAUCCGUAACUGGUCUGAGAGGAUGAUCAGUCACACUGGAACUGAGACACGGUCCAGACUCCUAAGGGAGGCAGCAGUGGGGAAUAUUGGACAAUGGGCGAAAGCCUGAUCCAGCCAUGCCGCGUGUGUGAAGAAGGUCUUCGGAUUGUAAAGCACUUUAAGUUGGGAGGAAGGGCAGUAAGUUAAUACCUUGCUGUUUUGACGUUACCAACAGAAUAAGCACCGGCUAACUUCGUG